AUUGAACGCUGGCGGCAUGCCUAACACAUGCAAGUCGAACGGGGUGUAGCAAUACAUCUAGUGGCGGACGGGUGAGGAAUACAUAGGAAUUUGCCCUUAAGUGGGGGAUAGUCCGGGGAAACUCGGUUUAAUACCGCAUGAUCUCGUGAGAGCAAAGCAGGGGACCGCAAGGCCUUGCGCUUUUGGAGAAGCCUAUGUCGGAUUAGCUAGUUGGUAGGGUAAUGGCCUACCAAGGCAACGAUCCGUAACUGGUCUGAGAGGAUGAUCAGUCACACCGGAACUGAGACACGGUCCGGACUCCUACGGGAGGCAGCAGUGGGGAAUAUUGGACAAUGGGCGCAAGCCUGAUCCAGCAAUGCCGCGUGUGUGAAGAAGGCCUGG
This 381-nucleotide ribosomal RNA is filed under the name uncultured bacterium. Its description in RNAcentral is "bacterial SSU rRNA". It matches the Rfam family "Bacterial small subunit ribosomal RNA", at positions 30 to 419 of the family's 1533-position model. The record is from RNAcentral.